Molecule: ribosomal RNA, 346 nt
Filed under: uncultured bacterium
Lineage: Bacteria
Description: partial 16S ribosomal RNA
Rfam family: Bacterial small subunit ribosomal RNA
Source: RNAcentral
CCUACGGGUGGCAGCAGUGAGGAAUAUUGGGCAAUGGACGAGAGUCUGAACCAGCCAAGUAGCGUGAAGGAUGACUGCCCUAUGGGUUGUAAACUUCUGUUAUAGGGGAAUAAAAUGUGCCACGUGGGGGAUUUUGUAUGUACCAUAUGAAUAAGGAUCGGCUAACUCCGUGCCAGCAGCCGCGGUAAUACGGAGGAUCCGAGCGUUAUCCGGAUUUAUUGGGGUUAAAGGGAGCGUAGGUGGUUUGGUAAGUCAGUUGUGAAAGUUUGCGGCUCCACCGUAAAAUGGCAGUUGAAACUGGCAGUCUUGCGUACAGUAGCGGUGGGCGGUAUUCGUGGUGUCGCGG